GGCUCUCAGUGGAUAGUUCAGUCGGUGAGAGCAUGGUGCUGAUGAUGCCAAGGUUGCAGUUUCAAUCCCUGCAUGGGUCA
This is a non-coding RNA of Podarcis lilfordi (Lilford's wall lizard), 80 nucleotides long. NCBI's taxonomy places the organism in Eukaryota, Metazoa, Chordata, Lepidosauria, Squamata, Lacertidae. The record is from the annotation of a GenBank genome assembly.